Molecule: ribosomal RNA, 424 nt
Filed under: uncultured prokaryote
Description: bacterial SSU rRNA
Rfam family: Bacterial small subunit ribosomal RNA
Source: RNAcentral
UGGGGAAUCUUGGACAAUGGGGGCAACCCUGAUCCAGCCAUGCCGCGUGGGUGAAGAAGGCCUUAGGGUUGUAAAACCCUUUCAGCGGGGAAGAUGAUGACGGUACCCGCAGAAGAAGCCCCGGCUAACUCCGUGCCAGCAGCCGCGGUAAUACGGAGGGGGCUAGCGUUGUUCGGAAUUACUGGGCGUAAAGGGCGUGUAGGCGGUUUGCCGAGUCAGGCGUGAAAGCCCCGGGCUUAACCUGGGAACUGCGUUUGAUACUGGCAGGCUAGAGGUUGGAAGAGGAGAGUGGAAUUCCCAGUGUAGAGGUGAAAUUCGUAGAUAUUCGGAAGAACACCAGUGGCGAAGGCGACUCACUGGACAGUUAUUGACGCUGAGGUGCGAAAGCGUGGGGAGCAAACAGGAUUAGAUACCCCCGUAGUCC